AGGCGGAGCGCUCUCCCGUCCGUCGCUCAUGGCCGCCGCAGCGUGCCGCGGCCUCGCCGUGCUGCUGCUGGGCCGCCGCCCGCCGCCCUGGCUGCGCCCGCCGCCCGCCCGCAGCCUGCCCGGCGCCGCGGGCCUGGGCCCGGGGCUGGGGCUGGUCCCGCCGCGGGCUGCGGCCCCGCUCCGCGCCGCGCUCCGCCGGUACAGCCAGGUGACGGACGCGCCGUCGCGGGAAGGUCACCUCCCAGAGCAGGAACACGAGCCGCCCAAGGCAGAAAACGACGUCUUCCUCAUCAGGGCGCAAGGAUUCCCCUUCUCCUGCACAGAGGAAGAUGUGCUUACCUUCUUUGAUAGCUGUAGAAUUCGAAACGGUGAGAACGGCAUACACUUCCUCUUAAACAGGGAUGGGAGGCGGAGGGGAGACGCCUUGAUCGAGCUGGAGUCGAAAGCAGAUGUCCAGAGAGCACUGGAGAAACACCUGCGGUACAUGGGCCCACGCUACGUGAAAGUGUUCGAAGUACACGACAGCGAUGUGGAGAGCUUGCUGCGGAGUCUGCGGGACGAGUCCCAGGCCAUCAAUGACGGAGUGGUAAUGCUCAGGGGCCUGCCGUUCAGCUCCACGGAGGAUGACAUCGCGGAUUUUUUCUCAGGUUUGAAAAUAACGGACAUAGCCUUCGUCUACCGGGGAGAGAGAAGAACAGGGGAAGCGUUCGUGCAGUUCGCGGCUCCGGACAUGGCGGCUAAAGCCCUGUCGCGGCACAGGGAAUACAUGGGCAAUAGAUACAUAGAAGUGUACGUCAGUAGAAAGCAUCAAAUGCAAAGGCACGUGCCUUACCACAGGCAGCUGCUGACCUAUCCCAAAGUGAGGAAAGAACAUGAGUCUGUUUCUGAAGAAAGGCGAUGGAGCGACACGGCAAGUUCUGAUGCUGAAGGAGAAAAUCAAGUGUGCAGAGAACAAACAGAAAGGCCUGGGCACAUUUCAGAAUCCGAGAGCGUCUCGUCACCACUGCACUUUGUCCACAUGAGGGGUUUUCCUGCCCAGACUAGUGCCCAAGACAUAAUCAAUUUUUUUGCUCCCCUGAAGCCCACGAGGAUCAUGGUGGAAUACAACUGCCACGGAGACGCCACGGGAGAGGCGGACGUGCACUUUGAGAGCCGCGAGGACGCGGUGGCUGCCAUGGCUAAGGAGGGGUCACGGCUGCAUUACACAGCCUGCCUCUCUCAAAUUGUUCCCCAGAGUGCAGUGCCAUCGAAUUAUUCCUGAACGGACACCCAAAAGCAAACCAGAACUGCUAGUGACAGGGGCGCGGCCUCAGCUUUGGCCAAAGUGAACACAUUCCGUGGGUACGAGCAUGAAGAUCGAGCGUGAGUGUUGCUGCUCAGUAACAAAGAUACACUGUAUACAUUUUAGGAUUGUGUAAGAGCAUGUAAUAAAUUCUGUUGAUACCCUGUGGAAA
Columba livia (rock pigeon) is the source of this 1454-nucleotide RNA transcript. It is a transcript of the gene named G-rich RNA sequence binding factor 1, with no coding region annotated. Lineage: Eukaryota; Metazoa; Chordata; Aves; Columbiformes; Columbidae. The transcript has 10 exons. The record is from RefSeq and is a predicted model, not a curated record.